GAACGAACGCUGGCGGCAUGCCUAACACAUGCAAGUCGAACGAGACCUUCGGGUCUAGUGGCGCACGGGUGCGUAACGCGUGGGAACCUGCCCUUAGGUUCGGAAUAACUCCCCGAAAGGGGUGCUAAUACCGGAUAAUGUCUUCGGACCAAAGAUUUAUCGCCUUUGGAUGGGCCCGCGUUGGAUUAGCUAGUUGGUAGGGUAAAAGCCUACCAAGGCGACGAUCCAUAGCUGGUCUGAGAGGAUGAUCAGCCACACUGGGACUGAGACACGGCCCAGACUCCUACGGGAGGCAGCAGUGGAGAAUAUUGGACAAUGGGCGAAAGCCUGAUCCAGCAAUGCCGCGUGAGUGAUGAAGGCCUUAGGGUUGUAAAGCUCUUUUACCCGGGAUGAUAAUGACAGUACCGGGAGAAUAAGCUCCGGCUAACUCCGUG
This 434-nucleotide ribosomal RNA is filed under the name uncultured bacterium. RNAcentral describes it as "partial 16S ribosomal RNA". It matches the Rfam family "Bacterial small subunit ribosomal RNA", at positions 27 to 507 of the family's 1533-position model. The record is from RNAcentral.